This 497-nucleotide ribosomal RNA is filed under the name uncultured bacterium. Its description in RNAcentral is "partial 16S ribosomal RNA". It matches the Rfam family "Bacterial small subunit ribosomal RNA", at positions 28 to 507 of the family's 1533-position model. The record is from RNAcentral.
GAUGAACGCUGGCGGCGUGCCUAAUACAUGCAAGUCGAGCGAACGGACGAGAAGCUUGCUUCUCUGAUGUUAGCGGCGGACGGGUGAGUAACACGUGGAUAACCUACUUAUAAGACUGGGAUAACUUCGGGAAACCGGAGCUAAUACCGGAUAAUAUUUUGAACCGCAUGGUUCAAAAGUUAAAGACGGUCUUGCUGUCACUUAUAGAUGGUUCCGCGCUGCAUUAGCUAGUUGGUAAGGUAACGGCUUACCAAGGCAACGAUGCAUAGCCGACCUGAGAGGAUGAUCAGCCACACUGGAACUGAGACACGGUCCAGACUCCUACGGGAGGCAGCAGUAGGGAAUCUUCCGCAAUGGGCGAAAGCCUGACGGAGCAACGCCGCGUGGGUGAUGAAGGUCUUCGGAUCGUAAAGCUCUGUUAUUAGGGAAGAACAUAUGUGGAAGAAACUGUGGCCAUCUUGACGGUACCUAAUCAGAAAGCCCCGGCUAACUACGUG